Long non-coding RNA from Mya arenaria, 530 nucleotides. RefSeq lists it as uncharacterized. The transcript is spliced from 4 exons. NCBI's taxonomy places the organism in Eukaryota, Metazoa, Mollusca, Bivalvia, Myida, Myidae. The record is from RefSeq and is a predicted model, not a curated record.
AGGUAGAAGACGGACAACUGAUAACCCCGAGGACAUUUGGCAAUGAUAUUUGUGGACAAGGAGGAACGUACACUUAUCUCCCCUUGUCAUUCGUCAAGAACACAUCCAGGACUGAUUUUGAAAAACACGAGAACGUUCUCGUUCAUGAAUGGGCACAGCUACGGUGGGGCGUGUUUCCGGAAUAUGGUACCGAUGCGGAAGCCAAAGGGCAUUUCUACCAAGCUGGAGGGAAGUGGAAACCCACACGCUGCAGUGAGAACGUUCAAGGUCGUGUGGGGUUCGGUACUAAUUGUAAGGCUAGUUCGUGGUGUGAUACAAAUGAUUCAACACGACGUAUCCACCCCGGCUGUCGAUUCUGUCCUGAUCUUACACAAUCGGUAGCAGGGGCGUCCAUUAUGGACAACCAAUUCGUGGACCUACGAAGGUACACCUGCAGCGAAAAGACACAACAGACUUGCAACAAACAAGCAGAACCUGUACUGAGACCAUAAGAGCGUGUGGGCUGUCAUGAGGGAACAUUUUGAUUUUAC